ACGGGAGGCAGCAGUGAGGAAUAUUGGUCAAUGGAGGCAACUCUGAACCAGCCAUCUCGCGUGAAGGAAUACGGCCCUAUGGGUCUUAAACUUCUUUUAUAGGGGGAUAAAGUGAGAUACGCGUAUCUUAUUGUAGGUACCCUAUGAAUAAGCAUCGGCUAACUCCGUGCCAGCAGCCGCGGUAAUACGGAGGAUGCGAGCGUUAUCCGGAUUUAUUGGGUUUAAAGGGUGCGCAGGCGGACCUUUAAGUCAGCGGUGAAAUCCCGUAGCUCAACUACGGAACUGCCGUUGAUACUGGAGGCCUUGAGUCGUGUCGAGGAUGGCGGAAUGCAGCGUGUAGCGGUGAAAUGCUUAGAUAUGCUGCAGAACUCCGAUUGCGAAGGCAGCUGUCCAGAGACGAACUGACGCUGAGGCACGAAAGCAUGGGUAUCAAACAGGAUUAGAUACCCUGGUA
Molecule: ribosomal RNA, 454 nt
Filed under: uncultured Porphyromonas sp.
Lineage: Bacteria; Pseudomonadati; Bacteroidota; Bacteroidia; Bacteroidales; Porphyromonadaceae
Description: partial 16S ribosomal RNA
Rfam family: Bacterial small subunit ribosomal RNA
Source: RNAcentral